This 368-nucleotide ribosomal RNA is filed under the name Shigella flexneri. RNAcentral's name for it is "partial 23S ribosomal RNA". It matches the Rfam family "Bacterial large subunit ribosomal RNA", at positions 2440 to 2807 of the family's 2925-position model. RNAcentral also lists the same sequence under 1 other name. The record is from RNAcentral. Lineage: Bacteria; Pseudomonadati; Pseudomonadota; Gammaproteobacteria; Enterobacterales; Enterobacteriaceae.
GGCCAUCGCUCAACGGAUAAAAGGUACUCCGGGGAUAACAGGCUGAUACCGCCCAAGAGUUCAUAUCGACGGCGGUGUUUGGCACCUCGAUGUCGGCUCAUCACAUCCUGGGGCUGAAGUAGGUCCCAAGGGUAUGGCUGUUCGCCAUUUAAAGUGGUACGCGAGCUGGGUUUAGAACGUCGUGAGACAGUUCGGUCCCUAUCUGCCGUGGGCGCUGGAGAACUGAGGGGGGCUGCUCCUAGUACGAGAGGACCGGAGUGGACGCAUCACUGGUGUUCGGGUUGUCAUGCCAAUGGCACUGCCCGGUAGCUAAAUGCGGAAGAGAUAAGUGCUGAAAGCAUCUAAGCACGAAACUUGCCCCGAGAUGA